Molecule: long non-coding RNA, 944 nt
Organism: Oreochromis aureus
Lineage: Eukaryota; Metazoa; Chordata; Actinopteri; Cichliformes; Cichlidae
Source: Ensembl
CUCACCUGCACAAUUAGAAAGAGAAAGACAGAAGAAGAAAUUAAGCUCCCUUUUUUCCCCAGAGGAAAUCAGAAGUCAGCCAGAGCCGUACGAGUCUGGAAUUAGCUGGGAGCGAGAGCUUAAGCCCUGGAGGUCUGACUGAAGGAGAAACCGCAUCGGUUUAACAGACAAAUUAAGAGUCUGACCUCGACAAUCAUCUUAACAGUGGGCAGGGUGGUGGAGAUGUUCUGAGGGUGAGGCGGUCGCACUGUGAUGGGAACUCAGCCGGCGUACAGGCAGCCGUAAAGGGCUGCGAUCAGGUCUAUACCUGCAGAAGGAGACACACAGGUACACCAGAGCGACAUUAUCUCCUUCCUCCAGACCGCCUCUCUCCAUCAGCAGAGCUGCCACUCCCUCCGCCGUCUGCAGACAGGUGAGAGAGCUGGACACUGCCCCCUGCAGGAGGUGAGAGAGGGGAACGGUGUGAGCCAUCAAGAAGCCACCUGCCACACUCAAAGGACAAAGACUGCAGUUCAUCUAACGGCCAGUUCAUCCACAGUUAUGGAUAAUUAUUAUUCCGUUUUCUACUUGCUUGAAUUUUUCUACAAUUUUUUAAGGUGCCCAGUUGUGCGUGGGUGUGCUGGUACCAGAGAGCUGAGCAGGGUUUGGAGAGGACGGGGUCCUGUGUGGUCUGAGCUCUCCACUGCAAACCUCGGACAGGAACAGAAACUGCAAGACAGACAUAAACACUUCUUUUACACACACUUUGAUGGCCUAACCUCUGUGUUUUUUACAUUAAUGUGUUUACGUGUGAUGUACAUGACUAUUGUGCAUCUGGCUCAGUGUUUGAUAUUGUAAAGCAAAGUCAAUAACAGCAAAAAUUUAAUAUUUUACUUUUAUUUCUGUCGCCCUCCUGCAUCAAUCCCAGAAUCACCCACACCCUUUACCACAUUUGCUUACUGUAG